CGGCAUCUACUGGGAAGGAUUAACAGCGGUGUUUUGUAUUCAACGUCUCCUAAUCGCUGGUCGGCAUCGUUUAUGGUUAAGACUACGACGGUAUCUGAUCGUCUUCGAUCCCCUAACUUUCGUUCUUGAUUAAUGAAAACAUCCUUGGCAAACGCUUUCGCAGAAGUUAAUCUUUCAUAAAUCCAAGAAUUUCACCUCUGACAAUUAAAUAUUAAUGCCCCCAACUAUCCCUAUUAAUCAUUACCCUGAUAUAACCUCGCUGUAAACAAAACCAACUGAAAAUAGGAGGUCAGGGUCCUAUUCCAUUAUCCCAUGCUAAUGUAUUCGGUGGCAGGAAAAAUAUCUGCCCGCUUUGAACACUCUAAUUUUUUCACGGUAAACGAUCUGGGCCAGACUGGGCCUUCACGGUAAACGAUCUGGGCCACUGGGCCUUCCCGGACAACGAUUUGGGCAAAU
RNAcentral lists this ribosomal RNA (456 nucleotides) under Acanthamoeba genotype T5. RNAcentral describes it as "partial 18S ribosomal RNA". Lineage: Eukaryota; Discosea; Longamoebia; Acanthamoebidae. The record is from RNAcentral.